AGUGAACGCUGGCGGUAGGCCUAACACAUGCAAGUCGAACGGCAGCACAGUAAGAGCUUGCUCUUACGGGUGGCGAGUGGCGGACGGGUGAGGAAUACAUCGGAAUCUACUUUUUCGUGGGGGAUAACGUAGGGAAACUUACGCUAAUACCGCAUACGACCUACGGGUGAAAGCAGGGGAUCUUCGGACCUUGCGCGAUUGAAUGAGCCGAUGUCGGAUUAGCUAGUUGGCGGGGUAAAGGCGCACCAAGGCGACGAUCCGUAGCUGGUCUGAGAGGAUGAUCAGCCACACUGGAACUGAGACACGGUCCCGACUCCUACGGGAGGCAGCAGUGGGGAAUAUUGGACAAUGGGCGCAAGCCUGAUCCAGCCAUACCGCGUGGGUCAAGAAGGCCUUCGGGUUGUAAAGCCCUUUUGUUGGGAAAGAAAAGCAGCAGGUUAAUACCCCGCUGUUCUGACGGUACCCAAAGAAUAAGCACCGGCUAACUUCGUG
This 492-nucleotide ribosomal RNA is filed under the name uncultured bacterium. Its description in RNAcentral is "partial 16S ribosomal RNA". It matches the Rfam family "Bacterial small subunit ribosomal RNA", at positions 29 to 507 of the family's 1533-position model. The record is from RNAcentral.